ACUCAAAGGAAUUGACGGGGGCCCGCACAAGCGGUGGAGCAUGUGGUUUAAUUCGAUGCUACGCGAAAAACCUUACCUAGGCUUGACAUCCCGCGCUACCCCGUGAAAGCGGGGAUUCUCUUCGGAGACGCGGUGACAGGUGCUGCAUGGCUGUCGUCAGCUCGUGUUGUGAGAUGUUGGGUUAAGUCCCGCAACGAGCGCAACCCUCGUCACUAGUUGCCAUCAUUUAGUUGGGUACUCUAGUGAGACCGCUGACCUAUAAGGCAGAGGAAGGUGGGGAUGACGUCAAGUCCUCAUGGCCUUUAUGUCUAGGGCUACACACGUGCUACAAUGGGAGGCACAGAGCGCUGCCAACUCGCGAGAGUGAGCUAAUCGCAAAAAUCCUCCUUCAGUUCGGAUUGGAGUCUGCAACUCGACUCCAUGAAGCUGGAAUCGCUAGUAAUCGCGGAUCAGCACGCCGCGGUGAAUACGUUCCCGGGCCUUGUACACACCGCCCGU
Molecule: ribosomal RNA, 498 nt
Filed under: uncultured bacterium
Lineage: Bacteria
Description: partial 16S ribosomal RNA
Rfam family: Bacterial small subunit ribosomal RNA
Source: RNAcentral